This 394-nucleotide ribosomal RNA is filed under the name uncultured bacterium. Its description in RNAcentral is "partial 16S ribosomal RNA". It matches the Rfam family "Bacterial small subunit ribosomal RNA", at positions 338 to 729 of the family's 1533-position model. The record is from RNAcentral.
CCUACGGGUGGCAGCAGUGAGGAAUAUUGGUCAAUGGCCGAGAGGCUGAACCAGCCAAGUCGCGUGAGGGAAGACGGCCCUACGGGUUGUAAACUUCUUUUGUCGGGGAGUAAAGUGAGUCACGUGUGACUUAUUGAGAGUACUUGAAGAAUAAGAAUCGGCUAACUCCGUGCCAGCAGCCGCGGUAAUACGGAGGAUGGGAGCGUUAUCCGGAUUUAUUGGGUUUAAAGGGAGCGGAGAUGGAUGGUUAAGUCAGGUGGGAAAGUUGGGGGGCCAAACCUGGAAUUGCAAUUGAUACUGGAAGCCUUGAGUGCAGGAGAGGUAGGCGGAAUGCGUGGUGUAGCGGUGAAAUGCAUAGAUAUCACGAAGAACUCCGAUUGCGAAGGCAGCAUAC